GGGAAGUAUGUGCACGGAGCCGCGGUAACAUGGUGGGUGUUAUGGUGAAGCCGAAUUGCUGGGCGUAAGUCGUGCGCAGGCGGUUUGGUAAGACAGUCGUGAAAUCCCCGGGCUGAACCUGGGAACGGCGCUUGUGACUGCCAGUCUAGAGGACGGCAGAGGGGGGUGGAAUUCCACGUGUAGCAGUGAAAUGCGUAGAGAUGUGGAGGAACACCAAUGGCGAAGGCAGCCCCCUGGGUCGAUACUGACGCUCAUGCACGAAAGCGUGGGUAGCAAACAGGAUUAGAUACCCUAGUAGUC
This 300-nucleotide ribosomal RNA is filed under the name uncultured Facklamia sp. RNAcentral's name for it is "bacterial SSU rRNA". It matches the Rfam family "Bacterial small subunit ribosomal RNA", at positions 496 to 795 of the family's 1533-position model. The record is from RNAcentral. Lineage: Bacteria; Bacillati; Bacillota; Bacilli; Lactobacillales; Aerococcaceae.